UACGUAGGGGGCUAGCGUUGUCCGGAAUCAUUGGGCGUAAAGAGCGUGUAGGCGGUCCGGUAAGUCCGCUGUGAAAGUCGGGGGCUCAACCCUCGAAUGCCGGUGGAUACUGUCGGGCUAGAGUGCGGAAGAGGCGAGUGGAAUUCCUGGUGUAGCGGUGAAAUGCGCAGAUAUCAGGAGGAACACCUAUUGCGAAGGCAGCUCGCUGGGACGUAACUGACGCUGAGCUGCGAAAGCGUGGGGAGCGAACAGG
RNAcentral lists this ribosomal RNA (253 nucleotides) under uncultured bacterium. Its description in RNAcentral is "partial 16S ribosomal RNA". It matches the Rfam family "Bacterial small subunit ribosomal RNA", at positions 524 to 776 of the family's 1533-position model. The record is from RNAcentral.